Molecule: unclassified non-coding RNA, 2585 nt
Filed under: Hevea brasiliensis (rubber tree)
Lineage: Eukaryota; Viridiplantae; Streptophyta; Magnoliopsida; Malpighiales; Euphorbiaceae
Source: RNAcentral
UUUCGAUGCAGUAGGUUGGAGUUGAUUACAGUAAAUUUGGUUAACAUCAAAUUUGGUGUAAAAUUAGGUGUUUGGAUUGGAGAUGCCCUAACACCCCAGCUACACAGAACACGAGAGUUUUGAAACUCGGAUACGGAUGAUCUUAAUCGUUUUGCUAAACGCUCAAGGUUGAUUUCAUGCCGAUGUAAUCUAAUGACAUGAUUUAGAGGAACCCCUACACAAUGAACCUAACUUAGCAAUCUUCUCAUGCAGAGCACCCAAGUUGACAAGAGAAGCAGUAGUCAGUCUCCCCUGCGCACACUUCUUUUGAAUCCCCAUUGAGUGUACUUGUACACUCCCCUUUGAGCUUGUAAUUUGAUAUUCCAGAUGUUAGCUAGUUUCAUUUUCAUACUUGGCCUUUCAUCAGAGAAUACACAGUCACCACAACUUGGGUGAAGAUUGAUUACAUAGAUGUGGAAGCUCCGAGCAGAUAGCUUCUGCAGAAUCUAUACUGCCCCACGCAUCAAGAGCCCCUAUACUGCCCCAUAUCCUCUUUAGAACAAGCAUACAAAUCAAGAUCAAAUUUUGCAGGAUUUGGGAACAAGCAGUCGUCUUUUCUCAUAUUAUUUAUGGCAGGAACAACGAAAUUAUGUUCCAUGUUUCUAAAAAUAUACGUGAGACCAACUUCAUGUUCAACAGAAGUUUCAAUCCCAUUUUCAGCAAUGUAAGGAUUAACAUCUCGAAACCAGGUCCCGAUAUCUGGUGACAGAAGAGACGCGGUUCUGAACUAAAAUAUGGCAGGACGGAAUCAUACAUUUCAGCAGUCUGUUCAAAGAAGUCCAUCCGAUGAUCGUAUUCUUCUAGAAUGUCCUGGUUAAUGCAGACUUUUCUGAAUCUAUUUUGACUCUGCAAUGCCUUGCUCUUAGUUUUGCCCCAGCAAAACUUCUCAAAUCAUAUUUCCUUACCUGAAAGAGACCUAUGAUUUAAGACCUGAUUAACAUCCUCAGCUACUUCAAAUUCAACACUAAAAUCAUAUUAUAGGUGAUUUUGUUUUGUUCUGUAUUUACUCUUUUCAAACUUAAUAUCUUCAUAACUAUCAAAAGAUGAUUCAUCAUGUGUGAGGCUUCUGCGCAAAGAACCGCUCUGCAUAAAUGGUUUCCUUCUCUCAUGCUUUACAUUUGAACUGUUAUCAAGUACAAGAGAUUCCUUAAAUGAGACAUUCUCUGUUGAUCUGCCAGCUACAAUUGUUAAAGAUUCCUCCCGUCUGGAAAUUAACAGGAAGUCUGAUCUACAACUGGAGCUAGCUACCUGAAGCACUGAAUUUAUUAUCCAGGAAAUCACCCUCCUUAGGAAAAACAUUAGAUGAAUGGGUGUGCGCAGCGUUUCGGGAUUUCCAGUUCACACCAACUGUCAAUGAGCAAGAGAGAAAUCAAUUGACAGACUUGAACGUAUGAUUUGACAGAGGAAUCUGGACUCAGGAUCAUGCUUUUCAGAAGCACAUCCCCACCGAAUAAUCUGUGAAGAUCGAAUCUCACUCCUGCCAGUGCACUCUUCAGUGCACCAUUUCAUUAGGACAGCACUUGCUUAGUCUUUUUCUAGCUUGAUUGUGAAGCAUCGUUUAGAAAUGUCAGCUUAAGGACGGUAUAUAUCAACAUUCAAACUUCUUUUUAUUUUCAUUUUUGAGAUAAUAAUUCAAACUACUCCUCUCUUAACCUACAUAUGGAACACAAAGUAGAAAUGUUGAACUGGGAUGAGCAGCAUUUCUAACAAAUAAAUAACAUGCCAUUGAUAGCUUCCUAAUCCAGUUCAUAGCAAAAUAUCUUCUUUUGACUCCCCAUUGUGCGUACUUGAGCACUCCCCUUGAGCUUGUAAUUGUUAUUUCAGAUGUUGACAGGUUCCAUUUUCACACUUGGCCCGAAGGGAGAAACAUCAGGUUGUGUGAGUAAUUAAUAUCAGAAAGAACCUAACCCUCCCAAGAAAUUUGAUAACAUUACCUUCCAUCAGAAAAUACACUGUCAUGGGUUGAAGAUUAAUCACAUUGAUGGGAUGACUCAUGACUGUCGUGGAAGCUCCGGCCAGAUAGCUUCUGUAGAAUGAUGCAGUCUCCUUACAGUUCUAGUUUCUGGCAUGAGUAACACAUCAUGAACUGUCUUAAUAUUAUUAUUUCCUUCUGCCUUUCUUGAAGACUCGCUCGUGGCAAAGAACUUCUUGCCAUGGUAAAAUGGAAGAGUUGUAUGACUUCUUCUUCCUUGUAAGACUUAUCUGUUUUACCUCGAUUUCAAGCAUCAAUCCAUUUAUGUGAGUCCCCAUCCACCCAUUGUCAUCCACCUUAACAUAGCAGGUCCCAAUUCCUAUUGCAACAUUACCUCCAUGUACCGAUCACUUUCAUCUUUGCCAGGGAAAGAAAGACAAGCAUCUUCAAAUUUCUGCACCAUAUCAAGAUUCACCUCAUAUCUAUGACGGUGCCUUUCAUCAACAAAGCUCCGGUUGCGACAUCUGAGAAACAAUAUAGUUUAGGCACUUGGUAAUAUCAAUAGGAGAAGUCCUCCAAAAUGGCUACAGAUCAAGAUACAGCCAAUGCAGUGAGGUUGGAGGAAAGGAAGUAC